RNAcentral lists this ribosomal RNA (501 nucleotides) under uncultured organism. RNAcentral's name for it is "SSU rRNA". It matches the Rfam family "Bacterial small subunit ribosomal RNA", at positions 29 to 509 of the family's 1533-position model. The record is from RNAcentral.
AUGAACGCUGGCGGCGUGCUUAAUACAUGCAAGUCGAACGGACGCCUUGAGUAGCUUGCUACAAGAGGUAGUGCGUGGCGAACGGGUGAGUAAUACAUACGGCAAUCUACCCCGGUGAGCGGGAUACCAAGGGAAACUCUGGAUAAUACCGCAUAGGUAAUCGGAAGGCAUCUUCUGAUUAUUAAAGUCGCGUUUGCGACACUCCGGGAUGAGCUUAUGGCGCAUUAGUUAGUUGGUGAGGUAACGGCCCACCAAGACCAUGGAUGCGUAGCCGGCCUGAGAGGGUGAACGGCCACAUUGGGACUGAGACACGGCCCAGACUCCUACGGGAGGCAGCAGUAAGGAAUUUUCGGCAAUGGACGAAAGUCUGACCGAGCAACGCCGCGUGAGUGAUGAAGGUCUUCGGAUCGUAAAGCUCUGUUGUAAAGGAAGAACUGAUAUCGGAGGAAAUGCCGGUAUCUUGACGGUACUUUACUAGAAAGUCACGGCUUACUACGUGCC